This 1369-nucleotide ribosomal RNA is filed under the name uncultured bacterium. RNAcentral describes it as "bacterial SSU rRNA". It matches the Rfam family "Bacterial small subunit ribosomal RNA", at positions 28 to 1381 of the family's 1533-position model. The record is from RNAcentral.
GACGAACGCUGGCGGCGUGCCUAAUACAUGCAAGUAGAACGCUGAAGAGAGGAGCUUGCUCUUCUUGGAUGAGUUGCGAACGGGUGAGUAACGCGUAGGUAACCUGCCUUGUAGCGGGGGAUAACUAUUGGAAACGAUAGCUAAUACCGCAUAACAAUGGAUGACCCAUGUCAUUUAUUUGAAAGGGGCAAAUGCUCCACUACAAGAUGGACCUGCGUUGUAUUAGCUAGUAGGUGAGGUAACGGCUCACCUAGGCGACGAUACAUAGCCGACCUGAGAGGGUGAUCGGCCACACUGGGACUGAGACACGGCCCAGACUCCUACGGGAGGCAGCAGUAGGGAAUCUUCGGCAAUGGGGGCAACCCUGACCGAGCAACGCCGCGUGAGUGAAGAAGGUUUUCGGAUCGUAAAGCUCUGUUGUAAGUCAAGAACGAGUGUGAGAGUGGAAAGUUCACACUGUGACGGUAGCUUACCAGAAAGGGACGGCUAACUACGUGCCAGCAGCCGCGGUAAUACGUAGGUCCCGAGCGUUGUCCGGAUUUAUUGGGCGUAAAGCGAGCGCAGGCGGUUUGAUAAGUCUGAAGUUAAAGGCUGUGGCUCAACCAUAGUUCGCUUUGGAAACUGUCAAACUUGAGUGCAGAAGGGGAGAGUGGAAUUCCAUGUGUAGCGGUGAAAUGCGUAGAUAUAUGGAGGAACACCGGUGGCGAAAGCGGCUCUCUGGUCUGUAACUGACGCUGAGGCUCGAAAGCGUGGGGAGCGAACAGGAUUAGAUACCCUGGUAGUCCACGCCGUAAACGAUGAGUGCUAGGUGUUGGAUCCUUUCCGGGAUUCAGUGCCGCAGCUAACGCAUUAAGCACUCCGCCUGGGGAGUACGACCGCAAGGUUGAAACUCAAAGGAAUUGACGGGGGCCCGCACAAGCGGUGGAGCAUGUGGUUUAAUUCGAAGCAACGCGAAGAACCUUACCAGGUCUUGACAUCCCGAUGCUAUUUCUAGAGAUAGAAAGUUACUUCGGUACAUCGGUGACAGGUGGUGCAUGGUUGUCGUCAGCUCGUGUCGUGAGAUGUUGGGUUAAGUCCCGCAACGAGCGCAACCCCUAUUGUUAGUUGCCAUCAUUCAGUUGGGCACUCUAGCGAGACUGCCGGUAAUAAACCGGAGGAAGGCGGGGAUGACGUCAAAUCAUCAUGCCCCUUAUGACCUGGGCUACACACGUGCUACAAUGGUUGGUACAACGAGUUGCGAGUCGGUGACGGCAAGCUAAUCUCUUAAAGCCAAUCUCAGUUCGGAUUGUAGGCUGCAACUCGCCUACAUGAAGUCGGAAUCGCUAGUAAUCGCGGAUCAGCACGCCGCGGUGAAUACGUUCCCGGGCCU